AGGAUUCCCUUAGUAACGGCGAGUGAACCGGGAAAAGCUCAAAUUUGAAAUCUGGCUGUCUUCGAUAGUCCGAGUUGUAAUCUAUAGAAGCGUUUUCCGUGCUGAACUGUGUAUAAGUGUCUUGGAACAGACUAUCAAAGAGGGUGACAAUCCCGUACUUUACACAAUCAUCAGUGCUCUGUGAUACGUUCUCUACGAGUCGAGUUGUUUGGGAAUGCAGCUCAAAAUGGGUGGUAAAUUCCAUCUAAAGCUAAAUAUUGGCGAGAGACCGAUAGCGAACAAGUACCGUGAGGGAAAGAUGAAAAGCACUUUGGAAAGAGAGUUAAACAGUACGUGAAAUUGUUAAAAGGGAAACGAUUGAAGUCAGUCGUGUUUAUUGGAUUCAGCCGGUCUUCGGUGUACUUCCUUUAAACGGGUCAACAUCAGUUUUGUCCGGUGGAUAAAGGCAGUAGGAAUGUGGCUCCCUCGGGAGUGUUAUAGCCUAUUGUCACAUACACUGGAGGAGACUGAGGACUGCAGCUCGCCUUUUUGGCCGGGGUUCGCCCACGUUCGAGCUUAGGAUGUUGACAUAAUGGCUUUAAACGACCCGUCUUGAAACAC
RNAcentral lists this ribosomal RNA (600 nucleotides) under Apiotrichum laibachii. RNAcentral's name for it is "eukaryotic LSU rRNA". It matches the Rfam family "Eukaryotic large subunit ribosomal RNA", at positions 71 to 662 of the family's 3401-position model. Lineage: Eukaryota; Fungi; Basidiomycota; Tremellomycetes; Trichosporonales; Trichosporonaceae. The record is from RNAcentral.